UACGAAGGUGGCAAGCGUUGUUCGGCCUCACUGGGCAUAAAGCGCACGUGGGCGGCUUGGUCAGUCGGAUGUGAAAUCCCUCAGCUCAACUGAGGAACGGCGUCCGAUACUGCCAGGCUUGAGGUCUGGAGGGGGGAACGGAAUUCCUGGUGGAGCGGUGAAAUGCGUAGAGAUCAGGAGGAACGCCGGCGGCGAAAGCGGUUCCCUGGACAGAUCCUGACGCUGAGGUGCGAAAGCUAGGGGAGCAAACGGG
RNAcentral lists this ribosomal RNA (253 nucleotides) under uncultured bacterium. RNAcentral's name for it is "partial 16S ribosomal RNA". It matches the Rfam family "Bacterial small subunit ribosomal RNA", at positions 524 to 776 of the family's 1533-position model. The record is from RNAcentral.